AUAAAUCACAAUGCGGAACUAUUAGUUUUGCAAUUGGAUUGAGAACAAUGUACAAAUGUUAUCGAUAAACAAUUGGAGGGCAAGUCUGGUGCCAGCAGCCGCGGUAAUUCCAGCUCCAAUAGCGUAUAUUAACGUUGUUGCAGUUAAAAAGCUCGUAGUUGAAUUGAAGUGAACUUGGAUUGAUGUGAUCUUCGGAUGACGUGAAUCAAAGUUGACUCUUUCCAAAGUCAAUACAUUGGUAUUCAUUUAUCUUUGUAUUGUGUUUGGUCAUUUACUGUGAGAAAAUUAGAGUGUUCAAAGCAGACGUUUGUUUGAAUACAUUAGCAUGGAAUAAUCAUAUAAGGCUUUCAUGUUGAUUUGAUUGGUUUGAAUAUGGAAGCAAGAUUAAAAGGGACAGUUGGGGGUAUUCAUAUUCAAUAGUCAGAGGUGAAAUUCUGGGAUUUAUGGAAGAUGAACAAGUG
Molecule: ribosomal RNA, 461 nt
Filed under: Blastocystis sp. subtype 4
Lineage: Eukaryota; Bigyra; Opalinata; Blastocystidae
Description: SSU rRNA
Rfam family: Eukaryotic small subunit ribosomal RNA
Source: RNAcentral